RNAcentral lists this unclassified non-coding RNA (429 nucleotides) under Salvia tebesana. Its description in RNAcentral is "external transcribed spacer". The record is from RNAcentral. Lineage: Eukaryota; Viridiplantae; Streptophyta; Magnoliopsida; Lamiales; Lamiaceae.
GAAGGGGCAUGUGGGAUCCCGGCUGGGRRAGGGASGACAUCUCCUCCACGUCUCUUCAGUUGUUGGCACGAGCAUGUUCUCGGCCGAUGUCGGGUUUCCUGUGYUGAAUACCUAUCGKGAGGGCAUUAUGUCGGCUAGUAUGGUUCHUUUCCCGCCUCGUGCUGCUGCUCCCCGUGGGCAAGCGGUGCGRGGUGGGCCAAAUCGGGCACGUUGUGUGUCGCACCGKGUUCACCUUAAYCGGUGUUCGGGUUGUCGACCCAUGACGUGUCGCGCGGUCUCUCGGGUACGGUAGAUCACGUGGGUACGAGGCCUCGGCCUCCGAGCACCACAAACAAGCGUUCUACGCUUCGUGCGAACGACGGUCGGUCCGGUCUUUGUCCGUGCUCCCGUAGCUCGKUUCWAGUCCGGACGACCUCCAUUAAGAAUGCU